Molecule: ribosomal RNA, 471 nt
Filed under: uncultured organism
Description: partial 16S ribosomal RNA
Rfam family: Bacterial small subunit ribosomal RNA
Source: RNAcentral
CACUCCUGCGGGAGGCAGCAGUGGGGAAUUUUGGACAAUGGGCGAAAGCCUGAUCCAGCCAUGCCGCGUGCAGGAUGAAGGCCUUCGGGUUGUAAACUGCUUUUGUACGGAACGAAACGGCCUUUUCUAAUAAAGAGGGCUAAUGACGGUACCGUAAGAAUAAGCACCGGCUAACUACGUGCCAGCAGCCGCGGUAAUACGUAGGGUGCAAGCGUUAAUCGGAAUUACUGGGCGUAAAGCGUGCGCAGGCGGUUAUGUAAGACAGUUGUGAAAUCCCCGGGCUCAACCUGGGAACUGCAUCUGUGACUGCAUAGCUAGAGUACGGUAGAGGGGGAUGGAAUUCCGCGUGUAGCAGUGAAAUGCGUAGAUAUGCGGAGGAACACCGAUGGCGAAGGCAAUCCCCUGGACCUGUACUGACGCUCAUGCACGAAAGCGUGGGGAGCAAACAGGAUUAGAAACCCGUGUAGUCCC